Molecule: ribosomal RNA, 533 nt
Filed under: uncultured bacterium
Lineage: Bacteria
Description: bacterial SSU rRNA
Rfam family: Bacterial small subunit ribosomal RNA
Source: RNAcentral
AAUAGAUACCCAGGUAGUCCAUGCCGUAAACGUUGGGAACUAGAUGUAGGGACCAUUCCACGGUUUCUGUGUCGCAGCUAACGCAUUAAGUUCCCCGCCUGGGGAGUACGGCCGCAAGGCUAAAACUCAAAGGAAUUGACGGGGGCCCGCACAAGCGGCGGAGCAUGCGGAUUAAUUCGAGGCAACGCGAAGAACCUUACCAAGGCUUGACAUAUACGAGAACGCCCUAGAAAUAGGGAACUCUUUGGACACUCGUAUACAGGUGGUGCAUGGUUGUCGUCAGCUCGUGUCGUGAGAUGUUGGGUUAAGUCCCGCAACGAGCGCAACCCUCGUUCUAUGUUGCCAGCACGUCAUGGUGGGAACUCAUAGGAGACUGCCGGGGUCAACUCGGAGGAAGGUGGGGAUGACGUCAAAUCAUCAUGCCCCUUAUGUCUUGGGCUUCACGCAUGCUACAAUGGCCGGUACAAAGGGCUGCAAUACCGCAAGGUGGAGCGAAUCCCAAAAAGCCGGUCUCAGUUCGGAUUGAGGUCUGC